Molecule: non-coding RNA, 10753 nt
Organism: Podarcis lilfordi (Lilford's wall lizard)
Lineage: Eukaryota; Metazoa; Chordata; Lepidosauria; Squamata; Lacertidae
Source: the annotation of a GenBank genome assembly
GCAUAGCUUCUCACAAUUUCAUCGUCUCCAAAGAAUUAUCCUUCACUGAAGAACCCCCACCAGCAUUGGUUGAAGAACUUAUGUAAGGAAUUUCCCUUCAUUUAUUCAAUCAGUCUUAGAUCUGCAUUUCAUUUUGAUGACUUAUGGGUUAGGACUGUGGAAAAAGCUUCAGGUCUGAGGAAGGUUGUUCCAGGGGCAGGGACCUUGUUUUCUAGAGAAAAGAAGCACACGCUCUAUGGACCUAAUUAGAUAUGCUAGGGAUGUUUUGUGUCUUAUUUCAACCAGGCACCUGUAACCAACGAAGCUUUUAUCUCUGUCUCCUGCUAUCUAUGCAGGUGAGUCUGAUAGUCUUGCACACCUGGUAUAUUAUUUAAAAGCUAAUUCCCAAUUAUACAACCAUUUCAAUUGGAAGACCACAAGUAGGAGAUGAGCACAAUAGAACAGUAGGAAUCAGUCUGGCCCCUGUGAGCACAGGGUACUGGAAAAGAUAGACCUGGGGUCUGAUUCAGAAAUGCUUUUCUUAACCUGCUAUACUUUUGGAACAUCCUGCUCAUGAUUCCCAGCUACUGGUUAUAUAUUUAUCAUUGUAAAAAGUCAUUGAUCACCCUAUACUUCAUGAAUGUUUCUGAUUCCAUCUCACAGAUGGCAAAAUCUCGGGUUAAAGCCCAAUUUCUGCUCCCCUCCUUCUUUAAAAAUACAGCAGGUGUUACUUUUCUCAUCUUUAUUUAUUCAUUCAUAAUUUUGGUACCCUAAUUGCCGUCUUUCAAAAUAUCAAGGAAGAGUUGCUUUUUUCCAGAUGUGACUAAGAAAGUAUUAUGUAGAAAUUGUUCACCUGAGACUCACCACUAUCUUCCUUCAAAUCUGAUUUCUGAUGAUAAGCAAGCAAACAAACAAAAAGCUCAUUUUCUCCUUGUUUGGUGUGAUUUCAUUGUUUUCUACAUCUCUGAUAUGUUCAGAAAAACUUCAUAAGGCACUCUGUACCAAAGUGUCAGGGAACUGCCAUCGGACGGAAGGGAGGUGAAAGGGCUCACACAGGUUGGGAGAGACUCAGCAGCUGAAGAGGGAACCAGUAGGGGGAGAGGAGCUGAGCGGAGGGAAAGUGAGCUGGAGGGAUGGCUCAGAGACACUUCCAGCGAAAACAGUGGGGAGGUUUCAGGACCUCCUGUAGGGACACCCACUCCUCGCCGGAAACUGACACGCAGAGAGUCCAGAAGACGUGUUUCCGUUAAGGAGCUUUUAUGUUGGAAGCGAUUCCAAGCAACCACUGUCGGAAUCUGCUAGUGACUAGAGGAGCCAUGUCUGAGGGCUCCGUCACAGACAGAGGUUUGUGGACUUGAACAAACUCUGAGGGGAUACGAUUUUACGCACAAGCAGCUCAUCAUCCCAUCACAGCAUUCCGACAGUCCUUGAAAGCAGCUUGUGCAGGAGAAGGCAUCAUGAGCAACCCAGCCGGAACCGGAGAAGCAGGAGCUGGAGCGGGUCCAAGCCUGGAAGAAAGGUACCGGGUGUUGGAGGUCCAGCUAGCGAUGCAGACGGCGAGGCUUGAGGAGAGGAGGGCUCAGGAUGCAGACAAAAGGGAAAGCCACCCAGCUCGCCAGAAAGGUACCAGGAUUGGUGCAGAAGUUUGGGGGGGAGCCCAAAGACUAUCAUGGCUUUCGGACAGAGAUGCAAUAUGCCCUCAAUCUGCAGUUUGAUGAAUUCCCUGACGAGGAAUCACGAGUGGCUUUCGUGAUUGAGCAUCUUGAAAAGGGCGAGAGACUGGGUUAGACCCCUGAUGGCAGCGAAUAGUGACGUCCUAAAGGACACGAUGAAGUUCUUUCGCGCCAUGGAUCUGAUGUUUUCCAGCGAUAUUGAACAGGGAGUGGUGCGCAGACAGUUAAUGGCUUGCAAACAGGGGAGCCGAUCUGUCCGUGAGUACUGGACUGAGUUCACCAUGCUGGUUCACAGAUUGGGGUGGGACUUAUCGGCGGAACCCAUUCAAAUGCUCUUUGAAGAAGGGCUUUCUUCGGCUGUGAAAGACGAACUUUCCCGGGCGCCCAGGGCGGAGUCUAUGGACCAGCUGACCAAAUCAGCGCUGACCAUAGGAGCGCGCCAGGAGGCGAGAGCAUUGGAGAGGCGGGAAGGGAGGGGAACGUUGGAAGGAGUUCCGCAUUCCAGACAUUCCAGAGCCAACUUUCCCGCCGGCAGAGCCGAUGGAAAUCGGAACAGCGCGCGCGCGCAGUUUCAAAGCCCAGUGAGGGGGAAAGAAGGAGGAAAAGGCGCCCGGAAAUGCUAUCUCUGCCAACAGCCAGGUCACUUUGCCAGAGUCUGCCCCCAGAGGAAGGAAUGGCAAGGGAUGGUAGGAGCUGUGGAGGGAAGAGAGGAAGAAAUACCGGAGCAAGUAACAGCCAACGCCUGGCUGCCACUGUCAGGGCACAGCAGCCAGGCCAAAGAGCAGUGAGAGUGCCCACGCCAGAACCUCCUAAACCCGCCCUAGUGAUAGAAGUGACGCUAGAGCUGCCAAACGGACACCCUCUAAAGAUAAAGGCGCUGUUGGACUCAGGCAGCUCCUGCAAUUUCAUGAGCAAAGAGUUUGCAGCUGAACACCAGAUACAGAUGAUCCCUUUAAGCAACCCCUGCAGGUGACCACGAUCGAUGGCAGGGAGCUGUUGGGAGGAGAAGUCAGCUUGCAGACCGUCCCAAUGAUAAUGAAGGUAGCAAGGCACACCGAACUGAUAGCUUUUAAUGUGGCCACCUUGGGAGGAGCUCCCAUUAUAUUGGGGAUGAGCUGGCUAGCGUUACAUGAUCCGCUGGUGGGCUGGCAUCAGAGAGUGGUUUCUUUUGGUUCAGCACAUUGCUUAGAACACUGCAAAGAGGGAAAGGGUUUGGCAGGGGCCCAAGCCACCCUAGCAGGGACUGAAGUAACGGAGAACGUGAAGGUACCACGACAAUAUGCAGAUCUCCGUGACGUCUUCAGCGAAAGGAAGCUGACCAACUACCCCGCAUAGACCCUUUGACUGUCAAAUCAAUUUACUCCCUGGGGCACAGCUCCCUGUAGGCAAGCUGUACGCCAUGUCAGACAGAGAGAUGCAGGAGCUAAGAGAGUUCAUUGACAAGAACCUGAAGAGAGGGUUCAUCAGAGAGUCCAGGGCGGUGGGGGCAGCCCAGUGUUUUUGUGGAUAAAAAAACACGAACAAGCCGAGGCUGGUGUGUGACUUCAGGGCCUUAAAUGCAGUGUCAGAACCAGUGGCCUUCCCUAUGCCCAGGAUUGACGACAUUUUGACAAGGGUGCGGAAGGGAAAGAUUUUCACAAAGCUGGACCUAAGGGGGGCGUACAACCUGGUACGAAUAAGGAAGGGGAUGAAUGGAAAACCACCAUGUUCACCCCUUUAGGGGCAUUUGAAUAUUUGGUUAUGCCCUUCGGCCUACAAGCAGGCUCCGCAACCUUUCAAUCGUUUAUGAACCACGUCCUGGGGCCUUUGCUUUACAAGAAUUGUGUGGCCUUUUUAGACGACGUGUUGGUGUAUUCUGAGAAUGAGGAGCAGCAUGUGAGAGACGUCAGAGAAGUGUUGAGCAGGCUGCAAGCCAACCAGCUGUGGGUGAAACUGGAGAAGUGUCAGUUUCAUACCAAGGAGGUGGAAUUCCUGGGGUAUCGCCUGUCAGACAAGGGAUUGGCCAUGGAUCCCGGCAAGGUCCAGGCGGUGCUGGAAUGGAAAACACCCAAAACAAGGAAGGAUGUGCAGAGGUUCCUAGGAUUUGGGAACUUCUAUCGUAAGUUCAUCCGAAACUUUGCCCACCUGACGGCGCCCAUUACGGACUGUCUCAGCAGUAAGAAGAAGUUCGUUUGGACUGAGGAGGCGGAGCGAGCAUUUGAGGAACUAAAAAGGGCCUUCGCCUCGGAACAACAACUCCUGCAUGUGGAUUUACAAAACCGAUGAGAGUGGAAACUGACGCAUCAGACAGAGCGAUUGGGGCGGUGCUUCUGCAGCCAGGGAAGGAGGAGUCAGAGUGGAGACCGUGUGCCUUUUUUCGCGAAAGCUGAACAAAUCCGAGAGGAACUACACGGUGUAUGACCGAGAACUACUAGCCAUUCAUGAGGCGUUCCGGAGAUGGAGGCACCUGCUAAUUGGCGCACAACAUAAGGUGCAAGUGUGCACUGACCACAAGAACCUAGAGUAUUGGAGGACGGCACGAGUGCUCAACCAACGGCAAGUGAGAUGGGCCCAGGAGUUCUCCAAAUUUAACUUUGAGAUUUGUUACGUGCCAGGCCCAGAGAACAUUAGGGCGGACGCUCUCUCACGCAAACCUGAAUAUUUGGAGGGGGAGGGAGCACCCGAAGAGAGACAUGUCAUUCCAGAGGACCGCUGGGUGUGUGGGGCGGCAUUGGUGGGACAAAGAGAACUGGUAGAGGAAACAGAGAAUGAUGAAUACGCCCAGAAUAAGCUCAGAGGUCUUAGGGGUGAGGGAGAGGAACCAGGGGUUUCGAGGAAAGAAAUGGAGCUUUGUAUUACAAAGGGGCACUGUAUAUCCCUGAAGGAGACUUAAGGGGGAGGGUACUCAAGCAGUUGCACGACAGCCCUACGGCGGGGCAUUUUGGACAACACAAAACCAUGUGGUUGGUCACCAGGGAGUUUUGGUGGCCCAAGGUGAGGGAAGAUGUACGUGAGUAUGUAAGAGGGUGCGAGCAAUGCCAGCGAGCCAAAGGGGAAAGGCGGGCGCCGGCGGGGCUAUUAGAACCCUUACCAACCCCAGAACGACCUUGGGAGGCAGUGUCGAUAGAUUUUAUGACUGAUCUGCCGAAGUCCAAAGGGAAAACAGCCAUCAUGGUGGUGGUGGACCUACUAACAAAGAUGUGCCACUUUGUAGCUUGCUCGCAUGCAGUCACGGCGGAAGAGACAGCGAAGUUAUUUGUAGAACACAUUUUUAGGUUGCACGGGGUGCCAUUGAGGGUGGUCUCAGACCGAGGAAAACAAUUUACUUCCAGGUUCUGGAGGAAGCUCAUGAGCUUACUGCAGGUGGAGGUCAAUUUUUCGACUGCCCGGCACCCUGAAACCAACGGGCAGGCGGAAAGAGCAAACGGUGUCCUCCAGCAAUACCUGAGGUGUUAUGUCAAUGAUAGAGAGAAUGACUGGGUAGAAAAGUUGGCGCUGGCGGAAUUUGCCUACAACAAUGCCGAGAAUGUGUCCACAGGGAUGAGCCCCUUCUUGGCUAAUUAUGGGUGUCAUCCCAGGGCUUUCCCAGGGGAGAUGGGGAGAGAUGGAGCGUCCCGGCAGCCGAGCAUUUUGUAGAAGAAAUGGAAGCAAUCCAUUGUCAGCUCCAACUCAACUUAGAAAGGGCGAAGGAAGAAUACAAGAGGCAGGCAGACAAGAACCGAAGGGAAGGUGAAACCAUAAGGGUGGGAGAUAGGGUGUGGCUGUCAACCCAAGGGUUGCCGUUCAAAGGAGGUUGUAAGAAAUUAAGACCCAGGAGGUUGGGUCCCUUUGAGGUCAUUCAACAGGUCAACCCAGUGGCUUUCAGGCUCCGGUUACCCAACCACAUGAAACUGCACCCAGUAUUUCACAGGUCGUUACUGUCACCGUACGAAGGGGACGAGAAGGGAUGGCCACUCGGGGACCGGUCAUAGAAGAAAGAGAAUGCAGCAGCCAUGUGGCAGAAAUCCUCGACGCCAGGUGGAAGGGGAAUCAGGUGGAGUAUUUGGUAGCGUGGGAAGGAGAACCGAGUCAGAAAACACUUGGGUAAUGGCCGAAGAUAUCAAUGACGAGGUAUUGAUAGAAACGUUCCAUCAAAGGUUCCCAAGGAAACCUCAGCCUGUGGAGAGGUUCCGGAGGGAAUACUUUGGGACCACUGAUGAGGAGGAGGAGUUGGAAGGCUUCCCGGACUCGGAAGGGGAAGGGAGAUGGACUCUGAGGAGGAGGAGUACUUCGAGACCAGGAACCGCAACAGGUGGAGAGAAGUGUUCGAGACAUCGGAAGAUGAAGGAAGUUCAUUCCGGGUUUUGCCUCCUCACCGCCCGUAGAGGAGGGGCGAGAGGGGGUGAAGGGGGCCCUGGAGGGGAGGUGGAUGUCAGGGAACUGCCAUCGGACGGAAGGGAGGUGAAAGGGCUCACACAGGUUGGGAGAGACUCAGCAGCUGAAGAGGGAACCAGUAGGGGAGAGGAGCUGAGCGGAGGGAAAGUGAGCUGGAGGGAUGGCUCAGAGACACUUCCAGCGAAAACAGUGGGGAGGUUUCAGGACCUCCUGUAGGGACACCCACUCCUCGCCGGAAACUGACACGCAGAGAGUCCAGAAGACGUGUUUCCGUUAAGGAGCUUUUAUGUUGGAAGCGAUUCCAAAGCAACCACUGUCGGAAUCUGCUAGUGACUAGAGGAGCCAUGUCUGAGGGGCUCCGUCACAGACAGAGGUUUGUGGACUUGAACAAACUCUGAGGGGAUACGAUUUUACGCACAAGCAGCUCAUCAUCCCAUCACACAAAGGCAUUUAAUUUAGAGUAAGAAUAUAACUGGAAUAAAUGAAUAUUUGUUAGAGUUAAAUACUAAAUAGCACCUCUUAUUGUGUUUAGAUUAUAUGUUUUUAUAUAACACUUUAAAUUUUGAAGGUCAUUACCAAGAAAAUGUCAUUUUGAAGAAAAGUCAGGCUGUGCAAAUUUUUUUUUAUUUAGUUAUAAAAAUGUUUAUAUACCACUGUGUCAUAAAAAUAUACAUCAAAGUAGGUUACAGCUAUAAAACAUAAAACUGUACAAUAAAGGCUAGCAUACAGUUCUGAAGAUGAACACUGAUGCUGUUUAGUUCUGUCAUCUCUGCACAUAUAGGUAUAGGCAAUAUCAUUUCCUGAAGAUUAUCACUCUGGUAGCUGCACCUUUGUGUAGACAAUGUUAUGCCAAAGAUUACAUCAAGGAAUGUAUUGUGUUGACACCUGCCAUCUUGGGAGACAGUGGAAGAGUGUGCCAUGAAGAAAGAAGUUGUGUAAAUACUAAAAUAUAUAACAAUAUUUAAAGAAGCUUACACGUAACAUAGUUGUAUUUUUUAGAAGCUUAACAGAAUGUAAUUCUUGUUCUAGUGUAGUGCCGAAGCAUUAUCAACACAUCCUAGCCUUGGCAUUCGCAGUCAAGGAGAUCAAUGAAAACCUCCACCUCUUACCCAAUGUUACCUUGGGCUUCCACAUCUAUGACAGCUAUUUCAAUGGAAAGUGGACCUUUCAUGCCACAAUGCUCCUGAUAUCUACACUAAACAGAUUUUCCCCCAACUACAAAUGUGGCAGUCAGGAUGACCUGAUAGCAGUUAUUGGUGGGUUGGACUCUCCAGUCUCUCUUCAUGUGGCAACAAUCUUGGAUCAAUAUAAAAUUCCACAGGUAGUGUGUGUGUGAAACAUGCAGUUUUGAACAUCUUUCAUACCUGCUUUAUCCUUCCAGAUUCCAUUUCAUUGUUUAUUGACAUAAAUGUGUAAAAUGAAGGUAAUGAGGUAGACGUGAUCUUUUCUGUACCUUUCAUGUCCAGAUCAGGAGAAACACCCAUUAGGGUUUAUUCGUUUUGUGUUUGGUUGUUCAUAAAUGGGAAUCCAUAAAAGGCUGAGCUGAGAUUCAUGAAAAUAUUCUUCUGGGUACUUGUGCAGAUUAAACAGAAGAACAGAAGAUCUACAGCAUCUAGCUAAAUUUGGAUGAGUGAAAUUCAGUGUUUUAAUUCAUUCUCCUUUUUGCCAUCUGUUAUACACAUUAUUGUGCCAGGAUAGGAGGGGAGCCAUAUAUGUAUGUUGAAGUUCUUAUUCUAGACUGGACCACAUGUAGGAAGGUGACCCAUUUUCAAAAGUAUGUAGAUCCUGAUUUUCAUUGAACUGAGCAAGAAGCUCCAUACUUGAGUAACUUAAAUACAGGUAAGGCUAGGUGGUGAGAAAUGUGUGCUGUUUAAAGUACUUAUACAUUAUUUAGGUAUUGUGUUUAUUACUAUCUAUUUAUUUAUUUCCACUUAUUAAUCUUUUCCUAUGAAACAUCUCAAAGUCAUCUAACAAUAAAAAUAUUCAACAAUCAAAUCAUGUAUACAAGUUCAACAUAUAAAAUGGAAACUAAAAUCAUUACAUGCAUAAAAACAAUUUAAAACCCAACACGGAUAAAGAUAGGGAUAAACAUCUCCACUUAAAAGACUGAUUGAAAAUGGAAAAUUUCCAGUAGGUGCCAAACAGAUAACAGUGAUGCCACCUAUCUGAUAUGUAAUGGGAAGAAGCUAGGUUGUGAAAAUACAGAUAUCAGGUGUCAAAAGCCAGGGUAAAAUGAUGUGUCUUCAGCUCUCAGUGUAAACUACAUACUGAAUUUGCCAGGUGCACCUCUAUGGGGAGGGAGACCCACAACUUAGGGGCUACCAAAGAGAAUGCCCUUUCCCAUGCCACCAGUCCCAGGUUUUUGAGAUGGUAGAACAAGCAAGAUGGACCACACUGCCAAUCUUAAUACCCAAGUGGGACUGUAGGGAAGGAGGCAGUCUUUAUAAUAUUUGGGGUCUAAGACAUUUAUGGCUUUAAAUAUUAGCUUGAGCACCUUAAAUAGAACCAAGAAAUGAAUGGGCAAUAAGCAAACAAACUUAAUUUAUAUUGACAAUUGUGUUGUAUUGUGUUUAAAACAAGUUUUUGGUUAAAGGUGUGAGACAAGGACUCCGCAGUGCAGUUGUUCCCUCAGCCAGUUCUCCCCAGCUUCCCUCUGCAAGCUGGACAUAAGCUAGCCACCAUUUGAUCAGUAUAAGGCCCCUCUUUGCAGCAUGAAAAUAACAACAUUCACUUGCUUGCCAGGUUGUUGUAAUUUCUGCUUGAAUAGUGUAUGUGCUGAACUUUGGACAUUCAUAUUUCUCAAUAUUGUUGUUACUAUUAUCAUCAUCACACACCCCUCCAUUCCAUAUCUCUCUUUAGUUAAUAUAUGGCCCAGCUCCAUUGAGGCAUGACAAAGCCUCAGGCCUUUUGUUCUACCAGCUGGUCCCUGAGGAAGCCCUUCAGUACGAAGGGAUUGUCUCUUUGCUUCUGCAUUUCUGGUGGACGUGGAUUGGGAUAAUUGUGAUGGAUAAUGACAGUGGAGAAAGAUUUCUGCAAAGUGUGCUUCCAGUGUUCUCCCAGAAUGGCAUCUGUUUUGCCUUCAUAGAGAGAUUACCCAUGUUAUCCUUCGUCACUGAAAUGGGAAGCAUGAUGGAAGAUGGGGCAAGAAUACAUGAUAAAAUCUUGGACUCUCAAACAAAUGUAUUGGUGGCUUCUGGAGAAUCCUAUACUUUGGUUUUUUUGAGAUGGUUGCCAUAUUUGUCAAAUCUAGAUGUGUCUAAAAAACCUAAAGGCAAAGUAUGGAUAAUGACAGCCCAGAUGGAGCUUGUCUCAUUUGUCUAUCAGAGGACUUGGGAGACACAAAUGCUGCAUGGUGCUCUGUCCUUCACAUUUCACUCCAAUAAUCUAUCAGGAUUUAAAACUUUCCUUGAGAGCAGAAGCCCUUCCAGCACAAAAGGUGAUGGUUUUAUCAGGCACUUCUGGGAACAGGCCUUCGACUGUAUAUUCCAAAAUACCACUGUUGACGAGGUGCAAGGGAACAUUUGCACAGGGGAUGAAAAGCUGGAGAGCCUUCCUGGCACUUAUUUUGAAAUGAGCAUGACUGGCCACAGCUACAGUAUCUAUAAUGCUGUCUAUGUCAUGGCACAUACUCUACAAACUGUGUCUUCAUCUCGACUUAAAAAGAGGGCAAUGGUGGAUAGUGGAAGAUGGAUAGUUCAGACUCAAGAUUUGUGGCAGGUAAUGGGUUGAUAUUUUAUCCAACAUUGUAUUUUAUCCUGUGUGUUAAGAAAGACCCCAAAGAACCUUUUUCAUCAUGGCAUUUACAUCUCCCUUCCUCUUACCUUGAAAUGGAAAAUAGUUUUUUCUGCCUUUAUCUGUGGAGACUGAUGCAAUUUUGUUGAUCUGUCUUCCUCCACUCAAAACCCACCCAUGCCAUCACUGAACUGAUGGUAUUGAAUUUAGUCUGAAAGAUCCCACUAAAGAAUGUUCUAAACUCUUGCCUUUUCUUUCCAUUCUAGCUGCAUCAUUUUCUGAGAAGCAUUUCAUUUAACAACAGUGCUGGGGACAUGAUUUCUUUUGACAAGAAUGGGGUGCUUGUUGCUGGAUUUGAUAUUAUCAACUGGAUUAUUUUCUCCAACCAAUCCUUUCAGGGGAUGAAGGUUGGGACAGUGGAUCCCCAGGUUUCUUCCGACCAACUAUUCACCAUCAAUGAAGAUGCUGUGACAUGGCAUACCUGGUUUAACCAGGUAGAAUCUAAUUGUAUGGAAUUUAGAUUGACUUCCAGGUUUAAUGAGCACCGACACUGUGUUCUGAUAUGUAAAAUGAUUUUUAGUGGACAAUGAAUGACUGCUCGAAAAGAGAGUGUGUUAAUUGAGAAGGUUAAAAAAACCCACAGAAAUAUAUAAAAUACUAUAUUAAAUUAUCUUCCAAAGGUUCUGCCCUUUUGAUAUUAUUGACUGAGGAAUUUCAAUCAAUUCUGCCUUGCUGUGAAAAAAUAACAACAGUGGAUAAUUUAAAAGAAAACAGGAAACAAGUCAACCAUUACCAAUAUGAUGGUAUAGAAAAAUGUGGGGAAACAUCACUAUAGUAACAUUAAAAAAGGCCCCAGUAUAAGGAUUCCAAGCUCCUCAUUCUCACUUUGUUCUUUUUGUUUUAUGGAUUCAGCACAAAAUAUUUCUUGUACUGUAUCCUUCAUGACUUAGGUGAGGCCUAUUUCUGUGUGCAGUGAAAGCUGCAAUCCUGGCUCUAGCAAGAAAGUGAAGGAGGGG